Molecule: ribosomal RNA, 467 nt
Filed under: uncultured bacterium
Lineage: Bacteria
Description: partial 16S ribosomal RNA
Rfam family: Bacterial small subunit ribosomal RNA
Source: RNAcentral
ACGAACGCUGGCGGCGUGCUUAACACAUGCAAGUCGAACGGAAAGGCCCUGCUUUUGUGGGGUGCUCGAGUGGCGAACGGGUGAGUAACACGUGAGUAACCUGCCCUUGACUUUGGGUUAACUUCAGGAAACUGGGGCUAAUACCGGAUAGGAGCUCCUGCUGCAUGGUGGGGGUUGGAAAGUUUCGGCGGUUGGGGAUGGACUCGCGGCUUAUCAGCUUGUUGGUGGGGUAGUGGCUUACCAAGGCUUUGACGGGUAGCCGGCCUGAGAGGGUGACCGGCCACAUUGGGACUGAGAUACGGCCCAGACUCCUACGGGAGGCAGCAGUGGUGAAUAUUGCACAAUGGGCGGAAGCCUGAUGCAGCAACGCCGCGUGCGGGAUGACGGCCUUCGGGUUGUAAACCGCUUUCGCCUGUGACGAAGCGUGAGUGACGGUAAUGGGUAAAGAAGCACCGGCUAACUACGUG